This 292-nucleotide ribosomal RNA is filed under the name uncultured bacterium. Its description in RNAcentral is "partial 16S ribosomal RNA". It matches the Rfam family "Bacterial small subunit ribosomal RNA", at positions 505 to 796 of the family's 1533-position model. The record is from RNAcentral.
GUGCCAGCCGCCGCGGUAAUACAGAGGGUGCGAGCGUUGUCCGGAAUCACUGGGCGUAAAGGGCGCGUAGGUGGCCUGAUAAGUACGGGGUGAAACCCUGCAGCUUAACUGCAGGACGGCCUCGUAGACUGUCCGGCUUGAGCAUGGUAGAGGCUGGUGGAAUUCCCGGUGUAGCGGUGGAAUGCGUAGAGAUCGGGAAGAACAUCGGUGGCGAAGGCGGCCAGCUGGGCCAUUGCUGACACUGAGGCGCGACAGCGUGGGGAGCAAACAGGAUUAGAAACCCUCGUAGUCC